This 974-nucleotide ribosomal RNA is filed under the name Mycobacterium sp. enrichment culture clone 4S_1. Its description in RNAcentral is "bacterial SSU rRNA". It matches the Rfam family "Bacterial small subunit ribosomal RNA", at positions 52 to 1062 of the family's 1533-position model. The record is from RNAcentral. Lineage: Bacteria; Bacillati; Actinomycetota; Actinomycetes; Mycobacteriales; Mycobacteriaceae.
CUUAUGCAGUCGAACGGAAAGGCCCUUCGGGGUACUCGAGUGGCGAACGGGUGAGUAACACGUGGGUGAUCUGCCCUGCACUUUGGGAUAAGCCUGGGAAACUGGGUCUAAUACCGAAUAUGACCAUGCACUUCCUGGUGUGUGGUGGAAAGCUUUUGCGGUGUGGGAUGGGCCCGCGGCCUAUCAGCUUGUUGGUGGGGUAAUGGCCUACCAAGGCGACGACGGGUAGCCGGCCUGAGAGGGUGACCGGCCACACUGGGACUGAGAUACGGCCCAGACUCCUACGGGAGGCAGCAGUGGGGAAUAUUGCACAAUGGGCGCAAGCCUGAUGCAGCGACGCCGCGUGAGGGAUGACGGCCUUCGGGUUGUAAACCUCUUUCAGCACAGACGAAGCGCAAGUGACGGUAUGUGCAGAAGAAGGACCGGCCAACUACGUGCCAGCAGCCGCGGUAAUACGUAGGGUCCGAGCGUUGUCCGGAAUUACUGGGCGUAAAGAGCUCGUAGGUGGUUUGUCGCGUUGUUCGUGAAAACUCACAGCUUAACUGUGGGCGUGCGGGCGAUACGGGCAGACUUGAGUACUGCAGGGGAGACUGGAAUUCCUGGUGUAGCGGUGGAAUGCGCAGAUAUCAGGAGGAACACCGGUGGCGAAGGCGGGUCUCUGGGCAGUAACUGACGCUGAGGAGCGAAAGCGUGGGGAGCGAACAGGAUUAGAUACCCUGGUAGUCCACGCCGUAAACGGUGGGUACUAGGUGUGGGUUUCCUUCCUUGGGAUCCGUGCCGUAGCUAACGCAUUAAGUACCCCGCCUGGGGAGUACGGCGCAAGGCUAAAACUCAAAGAAAUUGACGGGGGCCCGCACAAGCGGCGGACAUGUGGAUUAUUUCAUGCACGCGAAGAACCUUACCUGGGUUUGACUGCACAGGAGCCGUAGAGAUAUUGGUUCCCUUGGGCCUGUGCGGGCAUGGUGUCCAGCUCG